AGAACGAACGCUGGCGGCAUGCCUAAUACAUGCAAGUCGAACGAAUGCCCUUCGGGGUGUUAGUGGCGCACGGGUGCGUAACGCGUGGGAAUCUGCCCUUGGGUUCGGAAUAACAGUUAGAAAUGACUGCUAAUACCGGAUGAUAUCGAAAGAUCAAAGAUUUAUCGCCCAGGGAUGAGCCCGCGUAGGAUUAGCUAGUUGGUGAGGUAAAGGCUCACCAAGGCGACGAUCCUUAGCUGGUCUGAGAGGAUGAUCAGCCACACUGGGACUGAGACACGGCCCAGACUCCUACGGGAGGCAGCAGUAGGGAAUAUGGACAAUGGGCGCAAGCCUGAUCCAGCAAAUGCCGCGUGAGUGAUGAAGCGUUAGGUUGUAAAGCUCUUUACCGAGAUGACUAAUGACA
This 403-nucleotide ribosomal RNA is filed under the name uncultured soil bacterium. RNAcentral's name for it is "bacterial SSU rRNA". It matches the Rfam family "Bacterial small subunit ribosomal RNA", at positions 26 to 457 of the family's 1533-position model. The record is from RNAcentral.